UGGGGAAUAUUGCACAAUGGGCGAAAGCCUGAUGCAGCAACGCCGCGUGAGUGAUGAAGGUCUUCGGAUUGUAAAGCUCUGUCUUUUGGGACGAUAAUGACGGUACCAAAGGAGGAAGCCACGGCUAACUACGUGCCAGCAGCCGCGGUAAUACGUAGGUGGCGAGCGUUGUCCGGAUUUACUGGGCGUAAAGGGUGCGUAGGCGGAUGUUUAAGUGAGAUGUGAGAUACCCGGGCUUAACUUGGGUGCUGCAUUUCAAACUGGAUAUCUAGAGUGCAGGAGAGGAGAAUGGAAUUCCUAGUGUAGCGGUGAAAUGCGUAGAGAUUAGGAAGAACACCAGUGGCGAAGGCGAUUCUCUGGACUGUAGCUGACGCUGAGGCACGAAAGCGUGGGUAGCAAACAGGAUUAGAUACCCUGGUAGUCCACGCCGUAAACGAUGAGUACUAGGUGUAGGAGGUAUCGACCCCUUCUGUGCCGCAGUAAACACAUUAAGUACUCCGCCUGGGAAGUACGAUCGCAAGAUUAAAACUCUAAAGUGAAUUGACGGGGUC
This 551-nucleotide ribosomal RNA is filed under the name uncultured bacterium. Its description in RNAcentral is "partial 16S ribosomal RNA". It matches the Rfam family "Bacterial small subunit ribosomal RNA", at positions 355 to 920 of the family's 1533-position model. The record is from RNAcentral.